RNAcentral lists this ribosomal RNA (532 nucleotides) under uncultured bacterium. RNAcentral describes it as "bacterial SSU rRNA". It matches the Rfam family "Bacterial small subunit ribosomal RNA", at positions 777 to 1304 of the family's 1533-position model. The record is from RNAcentral.
AAUAGAUACCCAGGUAGUCCACGCCGUAAACGAUGAGUGCUAAGUGUUAGAGGGUUUCCGCCCUUUAGUGCGUGCAGCUAACGUAUUAAGCACUCCGCCUGGGGAGUACGGCCGCAAGGCUGAAACUCAAAGGAAUUGACGGGGGGCCCGCACAAGCGGUGGAGCAUGUGGUUUAAUUCGAAGCAACGCGAAGAACCUUACCAGGUCUUGACAUCCUCUGACAACCCUAGAGAUAGGGCUUUCCCCUUCGGGGGACAGAGUGACAGGUGGUGCAUGGUUGUCGUCAGCUCGUGUCGUGAGAUGUUGGGUUAAGUCCCGCAACGAGCGCAACCCUUGAUCUUAGUUGCCAGCAUUCAGUUGGGGCACUCUAAGGUGACUGCCGGUGACAAACCGGAGGAAGGUGGGGAUGACGUCAAAUCAUCAUGCCCCUUAUGACCUGGGCUACACACGUGCUACAAUGGAUGGUACAAAGGGCUGCAAACCUGCGAAGGUAAGCGAAUCCCAUAAAGCCAUUCUCAGUUCGGAUUGCAGG